AAACCAACAGGGAUUGCCCUAGUAACGGCGAGUGAAGCGGCAACAGCUCAAAUUUGAAAUCUGGCUCUCGGGCCCGAGUUGUAAUUUGUAGAGGAUGAUUUUGGCGCGGUGCCUUCCGAGUUCCCUGGAACGGGACGCCUUAGAGGGUGAGAGCCCCGUACGGUUGGACACCAAGCCUCUGUAAAUCUCCUUCGACGAGUCGAGUAGUUUGGGAAUGCUGCUCUAARUGGGAGGUAAAUUUCUUCUAAAGCUAAAUACCGGCCAGAGACCGAUAGCGCACAAGUAGAGUGAUCGAAAGAUGAAAAGCACUUUGAAAAGAGGGUUAAAUAGCACGUGAAAUUGUUGAAAGGGAAGCAUUUACUACCAGACCUYUGCCCUGCGGAUCAUGUGGUGUUCUCACCGCUGCACUUCGCUUGGUUUAGGCCAGCAUCGGUUUUUGUAGGGGGAUAAAAGCYUUAGGAACGUAGCUCCCUCGGGAGUGUUAUAGCCUUUUGCAUAAUACCCUUACGGGGACCGAGGACCGCGCUUYGGCAAGGAUGCUGGCAUAAUGGUAGUCAAUGACCCGUCUUGA
RNAcentral lists this ribosomal RNA (571 nucleotides) under Muscodor sp. Its description in RNAcentral is "eukaryotic LSU rRNA". It matches the Rfam family "Eukaryotic large subunit ribosomal RNA", at positions 62 to 657 of the family's 3401-position model. Lineage: Eukaryota; Fungi; Ascomycota; Sordariomycetes; Xylariales. The record is from RNAcentral.